GUGUCCAAGAGACAGAAGACCGAGCACAGCUACAGCAACGUGAACAAACUCCAUCAUGGCUCAUCUGCUGAUAGUGUGGGUUCAGACUCUGAAGUGUGUUCUAGACAUACGAGACUCAGCCCAGUUUAGGGUUACAGGUUUGGAGUAGAGCUACUCCAAGGGAAAAGCCCUUGGGAAUUUUUAAGAGAGAAUGUGCAGCCUUCUCGUGCAUGUCUCAUUGAGUGGAGUUGACAUAUGGCAAGGACCAUGUGGCAAAAGAGGGUUUUCUGGGGAGCUGUCAUGUUUGAAAUUGCAAGUGUCAUGAGGUGAAGUAACUGAGGAGAUCGUCCACAAGAUAGAAGCUGAGGCCAGGAGAGAGGCUUCAAGAGGACCAGUGAGGAGCAGAGAUCACCUCCAGCACAGCUGACAACCCACAGAGGGCUGUGCCACUUGAUCGAGAGGGGAUUGUGGACUACAGUGAAAUCCAGAAGAAAGACAUUCAACAUUGACGCUGAGGAGGACAACUAGGGUGUAAGACUUGCUCUGCCCUCUGCCGGGAAACUGAAGGAUGAAGGGAGCAUGCCAAGCUCCAAUCGACAGCGCACAGAGGGAUUUCACCGAUGGAAUUGUGGUUCUGUGAACAGCACAGACACCAGCAGACUGGGAAUGACUGACAGCAGUUUCCAAAGGGUGAAUGACCACCUAAUAUUGUGUUACUGUGACAUGCGUACUUUGGCACUCUGAAGAGGGUCUUUCCUUUGUGUCAUUUGCAUCAUGAAUACUUCUUCAAGCUGGCUGAAAUUUUGAGCCAUGGGCCAGCCAUGACUCAACAGGAGGGAGAAGAGCACAACAGCUAUAAAACAAAAUAACUGGAUCCAAUUUACUUUUCAAAAAAGAUUUUCUGCAGAGAUGAAAGGACAGUAGAGGAGUUGUAAAUGCAGAUGAUAUGCCAGGUGGCUUUGUUCCCCCCACAGAAAGAAUGCUUGAAGUGAGAAGAUUUGGGGGUUGGUGGAGGCCAUAAAAAAGGGGGCUGCUGACCAGGCCCAAAGCUUUGAAGACAGCCGGAAGCCACAUGGACAAACAACAAAACCAACUGGUGUGUUUGAAUGCCCAUUUCUACAUACAUUUAGACAAGGAAACAUCUGGAAGAGACACUUAUGGAGCACUGUAAAUGAAGCCUACACUGAAACUGUCAAACACAAGGGUGCAUAACUGUAAAUUUAAGUUCAAAAUGACAAACAGGAGGGACUGUUAGGUUGAAAUUGUUAAAUGUUGCCAUUGUACUUAAAUUUGUAAGCCUUGGUUUCAAACUGCAUGAUCAAUGACAUUCAGAGAGCCACUCACUCACGUGCACAUACAUACACACACACACACACGCUUGUACAUGCAUACACACACACACACUCAGUGCCUUAGUUUUAUGACACACCAUAGGGGAUUUUUACAGUGGGUGUUUGUGUAAACUGUGUGUCACAGAAUAAAAGGCUGCAGGGGAGACUGGUUCUUUGGAGUGGUCUGAGACCGAGGGCAGAGGUGCUGCUCUGAGAUGCUCCCCUUGCUAGCAUGUAAAAACCG
This is a long non-coding RNA of Oreochromis niloticus (Nile tilapia), 1554 nucleotides long. RefSeq lists it as uncharacterized. The transcript has 2 exons. NCBI's taxonomy places the organism in Eukaryota, Metazoa, Chordata, Actinopteri, Cichliformes, Cichlidae. The record is from RefSeq and is a predicted model, not a curated record.